GCAUGUUGAAACAUGUUUCGUGACAGACCUUAAUAUGAAAUGUGAACUGUGAGAUAAAUUGAAAUAAUUUGUCUAGUUUGUAUUUAUUUCAAUAUUUAAUACAAUAUUCAUGUUAGCACAUAGUUCUUUCAUGUAGGUAGCUUGAUUGUAAAGUAUUUCAAUUUGUCAAGAGCAUUUUCUUGAAUCUGCUUAUUCGAAGAUGGGCGUGUGCAGGGACUGCUGCUGGGAGACAGUGGUUACCCACAGUUGCCAUACCUGUUCACGUACAGAUGCAGAGCAGAGGCCAACAAUGAUGUGCCAAUCCCACCAGUUCCUCUUCGACCUGGGCGCGCCAUGGCCAUCAGGAACGAGUUCAUCAUCCGGCAUUUCAAUUAGCUGUAUUGAAAUGAUUUUUACACACAUUGUUUUACGUGGGUUUUUUAAUUCAGUGACCAUGAUCGUACCGUUUAAUAUUAGGUUUGUUUGGCUGGAAUGAAUAUUUUAUGAUUUUUGCACUCAUUGUUAUGGCUACUUAUGAAUAAUU
Long non-coding RNA from Bacillus rossius redtenbacheri, 523 nucleotides. RefSeq lists it as uncharacterized. The record is from RefSeq and is a predicted model, not a curated record. Lineage: Eukaryota; Metazoa; Arthropoda; Insecta; Phasmatodea; Bacillidae. The transcript has 3 exons.